CUACGGAGGGUGCAAGCGUUAUCCGGAUUUAUUGGGUUUAAAGGGUGCGCGGGCGGACCUGUCAGUCAGUGGUGAAAUCCCGGGGCUCAACCCCGGAACUGCCAUUGAUACUACAGGUCUUGAAUACGGUUGAAGUAGGCGGAAUGUAGCAUGUAGCGGUGAAAUGCAUAGAUAUGCUACAGAACACCGAUCGCGAAGGCAGCUUACUAAGCCGAUAUUGACGCUCAGGCACGAAAGCGUGGGGAGCGAACAGGAUUAGAUACCCUAGUAGUCC
This 274-nucleotide ribosomal RNA is filed under the name uncultured bacterium. RNAcentral's name for it is "partial 16S ribosomal RNA". It matches the Rfam family "Bacterial small subunit ribosomal RNA", at positions 523 to 796 of the family's 1533-position model. The record is from RNAcentral.